Molecule: ribosomal RNA, 722 nt
Filed under: Rhizoctonia solani
Lineage: Eukaryota; Fungi; Basidiomycota; Agaricomycetes; Cantharellales; Ceratobasidiaceae
Description: eukaryotic LSU rRNA
Rfam family: 5.8S ribosomal RNA (bases 286-439)
Source: RNAcentral
CAAGGUUUCCGUAGGUGAACCUGCGGAAGGAUCAUUAUUGAAUUUAUUAAUGAGGAGUAGAGUUGUAGCUGGCCAUUUUUCUGGCAAUGUGCACACUCUUCUCUUUCAUCCACACACCCCUGUGCACCUGUGAGACAGUUACAAGGUCAUUUUGGAGUUUGGGCAAGUGUGGAGCUUCAUUGCAAAACUUUUCCCUCCUUCUCUUGGCUUUUGCUGUCUACUCAAUUAACAUACAAACUCUAUUAAAUUUAAAACGAAUGUAAUUGAUGUAACGCAUCUAAUACUAAGUUUCAACAACGGAUCUCUUGGCUCUCGCAUCGAUGAAGAACGCAGCGAAAUGCGAUAAGUAAUGUGAAUUGCAGAAUUCAGUGAAUCAUCGAAUCUUUGAACGCACCUUGCGCUCCUUGGUAUUCCUUGGAGCAUGCCUGUUUGAGUAUCAUGAAAUCUUCAAAGUAAACCUUUUGUUAAUUCAAUCGGUCUCUUACUUUGGUUUUGGAGGUCUUUGCAGUUUCACACCCUGCUCCUCUUUGUUUAUUAGCUGGAUCUCUAAGUGUUAUGCUUGGUUCCACUCGGCGUGAUAAGUUAUCUAUCGCUGAGGACACUGUAAAAAGGUGGCCAAGGUAAAUGCAAGACGAACCGCUUCUAAUAGUCCAUUGACUCUGGACAAAAUACAUUUUUAUGAUCUGAUCUCAAAUCAGGUAGGACUACCCGCUGAACUUAAG